RNAcentral lists this ribosomal RNA (790 nucleotides) under Panstrongylus geniculatus. RNAcentral's name for it is "SSU rRNA". It matches the Rfam family "Eukaryotic small subunit ribosomal RNA", at positions 473 to 1176 of the family's 1831-position model. Lineage: Eukaryota; Metazoa; Arthropoda; Insecta; Hemiptera; Reduviidae. The record is from RNAcentral.
AAAAAUAACGAUACGGGACUCUAUUGAGGCCCCGUAAUCGGAAUGAGUACACUUUAAAUCCUUUAACAAGGAUCCAUUGGAGGGCAAGUCUGGUGCCAGCAGCCGCGGUAAUUCCAGCUCCAAUAGCGUAUAUUAAAGUUGUUGCGGUUAAAAAGCUCGUAGUUGGUUCUGCGUGCCGCGCUGUCGGUUCGCCGCCUGUCGGUGUAACUGGCAUGUCGCGGCAUGUCCUGUCGGUGGUGAACGGAGUCCACAAUGCUACAUAGGCUUUAUAGCCGAUGUUAGCAUCGUGUGUACUUCCGUUGGCCGAUCUCUCCUACUUCGGUGCUCUUAAACGAGUGUCGAGGUAGGCCGACACGUUCACUUUGAACAAAUUAGAGUGCUUAAAGCAGGCUGAAAUAUCUGCCUGAAUAGUGGUGCAUGGAAUGAUAAAACAGGACCUCGGUUCUAUUUUGUUGGUUUUAGGAAUAUGAGGUAAUGAUCAAUGUGGACUGGCGGGGGCAUUCGUAUUGCGACGUUAGAGGUGAAAUUCUUGGAUCGUCGCAAGACGCACUAGAGCGAAAGCAUUUGCCAAGUAUGUCUUAAUUGAUCAAGAACGAAAGUUAGAGGUUCGAAGGCGAUCAGAUACCGCCCUAGUUCUAACCAUAAACGAUGCCAGCCAGCGAUCCGCCGAUGUUCCUUUAAUGACUCGGCGGGGAGCUUCCACCCGGGAAACCAAAGCUUUUGGGUUCCGGGGGAAGUAUGGUUGCAAAGCUGAAACUUAAAGGAAUUGACGGAAGGGCACCACCAGGAG